This 451-nucleotide ribosomal RNA is filed under the name uncultured bacterium. RNAcentral describes it as "bacterial SSU rRNA". It matches the Rfam family "Bacterial small subunit ribosomal RNA", at positions 335 to 802 of the family's 1533-position model. The record is from RNAcentral.
ACUCCUACGGGAGGCAGCAGUGGGGAAUAUUGCACAAUGGGCGCAAGCCUGAUGCAGCAACGCCGUGUGAGUGAAGAAGGUUUUCGGAUCGUAAAACUCUGUCCUAAGGGAAGAAACAAAUGACGGUACCUUAGGAGGAAGCCCCGGCUAACUACGUGCCAGCAGCCGCGGUAAUACGUAGGGGGCAAGCGUUAUCCGGAAUCACUGGGCGUAAAGGGUGCGUAGGCGGCUUAGCAAGCCAGGGGUGAAAGGCAUUGGCUCAACCAAUGUAAGCCUUUGGAACUGUUAAGCUUGAGUGCAGGAGAGGUAAGUGGAAUUCCUAGUGUAGAGGUGAAAUUCGUAGAUAUUAGGAGGAACACCAGUGGCGAAGGCGACUUACUGGACUGUAACUGACGCUGAUGCACGAAAGCGUGGGUAGCGAACAGGAUUAGAUACCCGUGGUAGACUGUCA